UACGAAGGUGGCAAGCGUUGUUCGGAUUUACUGGGCGUACAGGGAGCGUAGGCGGUUGGAUAAGCCCUCCGUGAAAUCUCCAGGCUUAACCUGGAAAGUGCAGAGGGGACUGUUCAGCUAGAGGAUGGGAGAGGAGCGCGGAAUUCCCGGUGUAGCGGUGAAAUGCGUAGAGAUCGGGAGGAAGGCCGGUGGCGAAGGCGGCGCUCUGGAAAAUUUCUGACGCUGAGGCUCGAAAGCGUGGGGAGCAAACAGG
Molecule: ribosomal RNA, 253 nt
Filed under: uncultured bacterium
Lineage: Bacteria
Description: partial 16S ribosomal RNA
Rfam family: Bacterial small subunit ribosomal RNA
Source: RNAcentral